CUUCUCAGAAGAGGACACAGAAGCACAGAGUGGUCGUGAAGCGACAUACCCAAGAUGGCAGAACUGGGUGCUUGGCGGGGGGGGGUCUCACCACAAGGCCCAUGCCCUCUGGAGAAGAAAGAGGCUGACUCCAGGUCAGAGGACUCUGGGUCCAAGUCCCACCGCCCGCACCUGCCCGUGGCCAGGGGUGAGUCACGUCACCCCUCUUAGCCUCAAUUUUAUCAUUUGUGAAGCAAGGUGAUCCUGCAUGCUCCUCAGGGCUCCUGUGAGGCUCACAUGGGACACUGUGCACAUAAGUGCUUUCAUACACUCCCUAAAGCUCAGCAGAUCAAAGGAGCAUCAUGAGCUGACUCACAGCGCGCUGAUGCUCUUGUUAAUGCCUCCAAGUCAUCCUGACACCUGAUGUUUUCGCAGGCCUCUCUGAAUUGAUUUAGACACUGCUAAUUAAAAUAAACUCCCCCUACCCAGGGAGGCAGCCACACAAAGUCAUCAAGUCAUGGCUGUUUCCCACCCCAAUGGGAAGAAGACCCUUCCGUCUCAGGUUCUCCCUCCAGCCGUCGGUGGCCCUGCCCUCUGCAGUGAGUGCACAGCGGUGGGAGAGGAGACUUCCUAUCCGAUUCAUCUGCUUACAGAACUAUGGUCGAGAGGGCGCUGCUCAUGGUUUUUCUGCAAUUAGAUCCUCUCCAAAAAGCUUCACUGGAAAUGAUCAGAGCUCCCCUGUCGGUGGGAAGAAGCCCUAAGAUAAAGCCGCCUCAAGGCACUCUCAAAACAGAUUCUGGCACCUCAGCAGAGAGGCAGACAGCGCCUGGGAGGGGCCUCAGAAGGUGGCUAAUGGGUCUUUAGAUUUGGAGAGAUGCUUAAGGAGCCUGUGUGAUGGUGAGACUGCACAGAAAGGCCCCCAGGAGAACACCCCACAUUUGCAGAGCAUGCUAAAGCUACAGAGAGUGCCUACACACCUUAGUUCUGCCAAUCCCCAAAGCCUAGGAGGUUGGUAUUAUCACCCCCAUUUUACAGACAAGGAAACUGAGGCUCGGCAAGUCUGACAAAACCUACAGCUAGGCCAUCUGAUCCCAAGUCUAACCUUUCUGUCUCAAGACAGGGGUUCUCAACCCUGGCCGCUCACUGGGAUCACCUGGGGAGCUUUAAAAAUAUGCUGAUGCCUGAGUCUCACCCCAGAUCAGUCUAUUCAGGACCACCUGGCAGUGGGGCCUGGGAAUCCAUGUUUGUCAAGGUUCCUUGGGGAUUCUCACCUGCGUAGCUCUGCUCGAGCUGCAUGCCCUCAGCACAGAUUUUUAAAACACCCUGAAAACCGAGGGCUUCUCUCCCCAGUCCAAGUCAGAUGUCUCCUACCCUGACAUACCGUCUCCACUUGCCUGGACCCUGUGGGCACAGGGACAUGGAGGCCUGAUUCUAAGAGUUACUUCUCUUCCCUGCACUCCAACAUCAUGGUGUGGGAGCCUGGACUGACCCCUCUCUCCAG
RNAcentral lists this long non-coding RNA (1480 nucleotides) under Equus asinus (donkey). RNAcentral's name for it is "lncRNA (ENSEASG00005029593.1)". Lineage: Eukaryota; Metazoa; Chordata; Mammalia; Perissodactyla; Equidae. The record is from RNAcentral.